This 393-nucleotide ribosomal RNA is filed under the name uncultured bacterium. RNAcentral describes it as "bacterial SSU rRNA". It matches the Rfam family "Bacterial small subunit ribosomal RNA", at positions 28 to 424 of the family's 1533-position model. The record is from RNAcentral.
GACGAACGCUGGCGGCGUGCUUAACACAUGCAAGUCGAGCGGUAAGGCCCUUCGGGGGUACACGAGCGGCGAACGGGUGAGUAACACGUGGGUGACCUGCCCUUAGCUCUGGGAUAAGCCUGGGAAACUGGGUCUAAUACCGGAUAUGACUCCAUGACGCAUGUUGGUGGGGUGGAAAGCCUUGUGCGGCUAGGGAUGGGCCCGCGGCCUAUCAGCUUGUUGGUGGGGUGAUGGCCUAUCAAGGCGACGACGGGUAGCCGGCCUGAGAGGGCGACCGGCCACACUGGGACUGAGACACGGCCCAGACUCCUACGGGAGGCAGCAGUGGGGAAUCUUGCGCAAUGGGCGAAAGCCUGACGCAGCGACGCCGCGUGAGGGAUGACGGCCUCGGUU